This is a long non-coding RNA of Homo sapiens (human), 2469 nucleotides long. Ensembl annotates it as long intergenic non-protein coding RNA 1170. The record is from Ensembl. NCBI's taxonomy places the organism in Eukaryota, Metazoa, Chordata, Mammalia, Primates, Hominidae.
ACAUCCCGAGAUGUCACCCUGGCCCGGGCCGGUCAGGCCCUUCCACCGCAGGGCUGCCCCAUGGCAGCCAGUGACACCGCUGAGACAACUUUGCCGUGGCCUUACUUUCAUUUCCUUGGUUGUUCAGUUUAUGGCAAAAGACCCUCAGCUGUGUUUUGUUUACUAAUUCCCCUAAGCCUGCCUUAAAUCCAGACUGCCAGGGCCACAGGAAAUCUUUCAGACCCCUGACAGGUACGGUGUCUUCCUUUGGCUUUGGUAUCAAGGUAAUGCUGGCCUCAUAAGAACCACAGCAGCAAGUCACUUCAGAGUGCACUGGGGCAAAUCACAUCAUGUCAUUAUGUCAUGGAUCAUAAUGAAGCACAGAGGCUAAUUGAACCAACAGGCCUCAACGCUAAUCUCCAUGCCAGACUAGAGGCUUGAGAAGUUUUCUGAUGGGGAUAAAGGAGAGGAGAUUGAAAGCUGAAGUUAAUGAUUAAAGCCAAAUGAACCCCACAGGCAGAAUCAUAAUUCUCUACCAGCUGCUUAUUUUAGAGUCAUCUGGGUCUGGGGAUGGUUCUGGACAAAAAUACAAAUUUGGAGACCCAUCACUGGUUUGUAGGAUCAGUGAGAUCAUGAAAACUAGAAGUAAUUUCAACGCGACUUUUUUUAUUUACUUUGGAAAUGGUUCAGUUGGACACAUGAGUGAUAAGAGGUGGACAUUUCAAGUUCAAUUGUGUUUGAUGACUCAUUAGGUUAAAGAAGCUGUCAGGUGGUAAAGUCACCCCAGAGAAAUGAAGGGUAUUCUCCAGAAAGUGUGGAAACCCUGCCACUGCAGGCUAAUCAGGUGUGUUGACACAUCAGUGAGGAGCUGGCUCACAACACCUGGAGAAGCAAGCCAUGGAGGUGGAGCAGAAUCAAAUGAGCCUCCCACAAGGCACAAAGAUUCUCAGCAAGUCAGGACAUGUUACACAUGGAAAUUCCUACUCACCCAAGACAGAUGCCUAUUGCUGUGUCUCUCUCUUCCCAUACUUUCACAUUGUCUUGAAAUAUAAGCAAGAUGUGAGAGCCCACAGUGCUAUGGUAGGAGCCAUCUGCAGUGCCAUGGUCACCUGUGUCAGUGGUGGAACAAAGAGGGAAAGAUGGCUUCCACAUCCAGUGGUGACUUGAGUGGAAAAAGAAAAAAAAGAGCUCCUAUGCCUGCUGGCAGAUGCUACUGAUGGGACUAUGAGCAAUUAGAGGAGGUUUCACAUUUACUCACAACUUGGAAUUUCUAAGCAAAUUUUCACAACGCAAGGCAGCCGUACAUUCUGUGUACCUAACACUUUGUGCUUUCUCAUCUUGCUUGAUCAUUCAGGAAGCAGGUGGUCCAUUCUUUUGGCUCUAAAUAUUUUGCAUGUGAAGGGCAUAGGUAGGUGCACCACUUUGGAGAUUGUUAGCUGUGUCUGGUUCCGGGUGUCAGUUAGGCACAAAUUAGUAAGGCUGGAGGGGUUAAGAGUUGCAGAGAAGUCUGACGUGAUGGAUAAGUUAAGGAAGAGUCCUAAGAGGCCAGAAGUGAUAGAGCCCUAAAAACCAGAAUGGGCUGGUCAUGGCAUGGCAGAAGCUGACUUAUUUUUUAUCUCAUACAGAAUGGGUGUCUACUAGUUCAGUCUGUGCUUAUUUAUUAACAAAAUUAUUCACAGCAAUUCUCAGAGUCCUUCAUCAAAUUCAGUCUGCUCUUGAAUAUUCAGAAGAGAUUCUUUCUGAAUAAUGCACAAUAACUUUCUUUUUUUUUCCGAGAGGCUCCAAUGUGUCCACGCUUCUUUUUUCCCCCUUAUUUUAGUUUAAUAUAGGGUUUUCUCAGAUUUUUUUCCUAUAAUAGUUUACUAUUUUCCUAAAUCUUUCCAUUUUGUCAUCAAAUUCAACUAUUUCUCACCUCAUUCAUCUUACAGGUUGUUAAUAAAUAUACCAGAGAAUAAUGGUCCUGCUAUUGAUGGAUCCCAAGGGAGAAUUCCUAUUAAUCACUUCAAUCUUAGGGUGAGCCAUUUAUUCUUACUCUUUGUAUUUUCCCCAUUAAUGAAUGAUUCCCCUUUCCAUGUGCAGUUUUAAGUAUUCACACUGUAGUAGUUUAUUUUUAUUAUCUUCUUAGCAUUUCUCAUGAAACAGAGAUCCCAUAAUUGAUGUGUAUCUUGGACUCUGAAACUCUGCCUGUGUAUAAUGAAGGGAUUGGCCUGGAUGACCUCCUUCCUCUAUCAUUCUAGAAUCUCUCUUUGUCCCAACUUGAAACCAAACAGGUGCCAGGGUCUGUCGCAGAGAAGAAUAAUUAGCACAUCCAUUAACAUGGGCCCUGUUAACACAUCCAGUGUUGACUCUAAUUACUGGUAGAUUUUAACUGAGCUCUGCUGUCUAUAAGUGACUGUUAGCAAAUGAUAGUAUAUUUGAUUUGACAUACAUCAUACGUACUGAAUAGUAAGCUUCAGUCAACUUUUACACAAGUACUCGUAAAGAAGCUGA